Artibeus jamaicensis (Jamaican fruit-eating bat) is the source of this 3025-nucleotide long non-coding RNA. RefSeq lists it as uncharacterized. The record is from RefSeq and is a predicted model, not a curated record. The transcript has 5 exons. NCBI's taxonomy places the organism in Eukaryota, Metazoa, Chordata, Mammalia, Chiroptera, Phyllostomidae.
CUCACACGCUGAACUGAAGGUGGAUUGUGCUCCGGAGAAGGGGUGACAGUGGGGAGGAAGGACUGCGGCCACUGAAAGCCCAGACACGGGGUGUUGGUUGAGAUGAGAGUGGUGCUCUCCCCCUGGGUGAGGCUGGGACCAGAACACAGUGAUGGCGGCGCACGGUUACCCUGGGGAAGGAGCACGCUCUGGGCAUAAAAACUGCGAGAGUUGUGUUGCUAAGGGGUUGGCCAUGGCCGUGGAGGAACUAUAAGCUGCUGCCUGGAUGAGGGGCAAUGACAGUGAGCUGUGUGUCCAAACCAAUGGCAUGAUGCCCGCACUGGGGGGCCAGCCAAUGGGACUGGUGCCUUGGACAGCAUUUGAAGGCUCAUUGUCUCCCUUCCACCGGAAUACAGACCCCGAGGCCUAGAACAGUGCCUGACUCACUGUAGGAGCUCCACACCUGUUUCUGAACGGAACCAAUGUCUCAGUUUUGGCCACUGGACAACUUAGCAGCUGCCUCGGGACCCCCCGGACACCAGUCUGCAGACGUCAGCAGCUCCGAGGCAACCCCCACAUGGACAUUCUUAAUGGGCAACGGAUGGCCAUAUUCAAAGGGGGACUGUGGGGACGUCUGGUGAGAAGUCCCAGACACCCUCCCCCUGAAGGCCUGUCCCUCCCCGCAGGCUCCUUACUUUUGAAGAUCUCUGAGUCGAAGCCAGCGUCCUUCCCCAGAUUACCUCCCAGUGUAUCUCACCGGAGUUAAAAUUAAGGUGUGGUUGCUUUGCUGGGGUACACACUGAGCUUGCCACAGAGAGGAAAUCCGGACCCAGGCUGGAGGGUGAAGAUUAAACAUGUGCUGUGAUAACCCACCAGCUAGCGCACUUACGGAUAAACAAAGAUUAACUUUAAUUAAACACGCUGAUAACCCUUCUGUAGUUCCCGGAGCACUGCCCAGCCUCACCUUGGUUACAGGGGGAAGCUCGUAGUCAGGACCUGAAUUCAGGAGUCUCACCUCCCCUGGCUUCAGCCCAACUUACCUGGCAGUGUCUUCACACGGCACAUGUAGGGGGCACUCUCUUUGGACCAGGUUGGAACAAAAAUUGUGAUGGUCCCAAGGAACUCCGUGUCAGGGUUCAGGCCAAUGAACUCGUAUUCCCUCCGGUUUCCUUCAAGGUGCUGAAUUGGACAGAGAACCCUCAGUGACUCCUCUUACGCCCCAGUCUCCAUGCGGAGCCCGAGCUCGUCUCAUACCUCUGCCUGGGUUACUGCACGUAGGCAAAGGCGGCUACCAGCUCCCGAACCAGACGCUGGUGGAUCUGCCCGCGGUGCUCCAUUCCCUUCCCCCGCCUUCGGCUUUCUCUGGACCCAGUCGGUCACCAAGCUCCAUACACUUGCUCUUAGAACAGUGUCUGGUACGUGGUAAGCACUCAGUAAAUAUUAGCUGCUGUUACCACAACUGCCACCAGCACCACCACCACCAACACCACCAUCACAGCCAUCACUACUACCACGACCACCAUCACCUCCACCACCGGUUUAUCAGGAGGCUCUAGCAAUCAUGAAUGUGUGUGUGUUGACAACAGUUUCAAAUAUGCAUAGAAUUAAAUGGAAAAAUAGACAAUUCCACAGUCAUGGUUGGAGAACACAAUGCUUCAGCAAUUAAAAAAAGCUAUCAACUCCACCCAAACCAGGAAAGGUGUAGAAGCUCUGAACAGCACUCCCGGCCGCCUUGCUCUGACUGACACACACAGCGCACCCCACCACACGACCGCGAGAACAUGUUCUUUUCCAGUGCGCACGCAACAUCCACCAAGAUAGGCCGCUGCUGAGCCUUAAAACAAGUCUCAAUAAAUUUAUAAGGACUGAAAUGACACAGACUAUUUUUCUGGCCACAAAAUGAAUUAAAUCAUGAUAACCCCAGCGAUUUACCAAAGUACAGUUGUGAUAAGGACUCUCCCUACCCAAUAAUCUCCAAUGGCUCCCGGUGAUGACUGAAAUACACAAGGCCCCUCCCUCCGCGGCCCCAGGCGUCUGCAGCCCCGAACUGUCUUCUCGGGUGUGUGCUCAAAUUCCAGUGUGGGCGGGAAGCCUGUGAGACGCUGGCUAAGCUUCAGACCCCAGGGGUGUAACUGUAGAAUUUGAUUCAGUAGAUUGGAGGAGGGAACAUUUUAGACAAAUGCUGCAGAAAAUUCUGAAACCCUUGGUUUGGGACCAUGUUUUGAGAAGCUGUUCUCCAUGUCCCCUUGCUCCAGGCAACCUGGGCAGUUCUGUGCUUUCCGGCAAUGUCCAGAGUUUUUCUGCUCCUCCCGUGAUCAUGGUGGGUGCGGUGCAGGCCAGUGGGGGGAAACGUGGGCUUUGAACAUGGCUGGGUUUGAAUCUCUGGCUUAUGCUACUAUUUGCUGAACAAUCUUGAGCUAGUGACUUAACCUCUCUGAGCUGCUGUUUUCUCAUCCAGAAGAUGCAGGAGAUAAUAGCACCUACCACACGGAGAGUGGGUGAAGAUUAAGUGACUUAACAAGCAUACGUUACCUAGCACACCUCAGAAAUUAGUAUUGGCACCAGAAAAUUGUCUGAUCCGCAAGUCUUGCCAGACUUCCCUGAAUGGCCACUUCCCCCUCACCUGCUUGCUUCUGCUCUGCCUCACACAAUACCCUUAUUUCGCUCUCCUUACACCUGUUUAACUUCUUGUUUUAAUCCCAUUCCUUCCCACCAGACUAUACACUCUGAGUGCAGAAACAGUCAAUGGAAUUAUGGAUUAGUGGCGCAUGCCGGGGGGAAAUGCCACGUAUUUUCUGAGUAGAAAAAAAAUAACUUGUACACUGUUUGACAGCUCAGGCCCCUGCCUUCCCCCGUUCAUUACUGCUGAUCUGCAGACACGGCCUGUGUCCAGUCCCCACAGAUGGUGGGGAACCGGCAAAGAGGACUGCGGCCGUGGCAACUGAUUCCAGCAUUUUCUGAAGUGGAUGCCUGAGAAUGUUAACAGAGGUUGUUCCCUGGGAUGUGAGAAGGCGUUAGGCAAAAAAAUUAAGAAAAACAAUAAACA